This 229-nucleotide ribosomal RNA is filed under the name uncultured bacterium. RNAcentral's name for it is "partial 16S ribosomal RNA". It matches the Rfam family "Bacterial small subunit ribosomal RNA", at positions 568 to 796 of the family's 1533-position model. The record is from RNAcentral.
UGCGCAGGCGGGAACGUAAGUGCUUUGUGAAAGCCCAUGGCUCAACCAUGGAAGUGCUUGGCAAACUACGUUUCUUGAGGUCGGUAGAGGCUGUCGGAACUGUAGGUGUAGCGGUGAAAUGCGUAGAUAUCUACAGGAACACCAAAGACGAAGGUAGGCAGCUGGGCCGAUUCUGACGCUGAGGCACGAAAGCGUGGGUAGCGAACAGGAUUAGAUACCCUGGUAGUCC